AGAGUUUGAUCAUGGCUCAGGACGAACGCUGGCGGCGUGCUUAACACAUGCAAGUCGAACGGGGGUUACAUUGAAACCUAGUGAUAUGUAACCCUAGUGGCGAACGGGUGAGUAACGCGUGGAUAACCUACCUGUCCGACCGGGAUAACACCUGGAAACGGGUGCUAAUACCGGAUACGCUCACGGGUUCACAAGAGCUUGUGAGGAAAGGGGAGACCCGCAGACAGAUGGGUCCGCGUCCCAUUAGCUAGUUGGGGGUGUAAUGGACUCCCAAGGCGACGAUGGGUAGCCGGCCUGAGAGGGUGACCGGCCACACUGGAACUGAGACACGGUCCAGACUCCUACGGGAGGCAGCAGUGGGGAAUCUUCCGCAAUGGGCGAAAGCCUGACGGAGCAACGCCGCGUGAGUGAAGAAGGCCUUCGGGUUGUAAAACUCUGUCAUCAGGGAAGAAGAAAGUGACGGUACCUGAGGAGGAAGCCCCGGCUAACUACGUGCCAGCAGCCGCGGUAAAACGUAGGGGGCGAGCGUUGUCCGGAAUUACUGGGCGUAAAGGGCGCGUAGGCGGUUAUCCAAGUCAGGGGUGAAAACCUUGGGCUCAACCCAGGGCCUGCCUCUGAAACUGGGUGACUUGAGGGCAGGAGAGGGGAGUGGAAUUCCCAGUGUAGCGGUGAAAUGCGUAGAUAUUGGGAGGAACACCAGUGGCGAAGGCGGCUCUCUGGCCUGUUACUGACGCUGAGGCGCGAAAGCGUGGGGAUCAAACAGGAUUAGAUACCCUGGUAGUCCACGCCGUAAACGAUGGGUGCUAGGUGUAGGAGGUAUCGACCCCUUCUGUGCCGUAGUUAACACAAUAAGCACCCCGCCUGGGGAGUACGGCCGCAAGGUUGAAACUCAAAGGAAUUGACGGGGGCCCGCACAAGCGGUGGAGCAUGUGGUUUAAUUCGACGCAACGCGAAGAACCUUACCAGGGUUUGACAUCCCCUGACAGCCUAUGAAAGUAGGUUUUCUAUCUUCGGAUAGACAGGGAGACAGGUGGUGCAUGGUUGUCGUCAGCUCGUGUCGUGAGAUGUUGGGUUAAGUCCCGCAACGAGCGCAACCCUCACGUUUAGUUGCCAGCGGGUGAGGCCGGGCACUCUAAACGAACUGCCGUUGACAAAACGGAGGAAGGUGGGGAUGACGUCAAAUCAUCAUGCCCCUUAUACUCUGGGCGACACACGUGCUACAAUGGAGGGGACAAAGGGAAGCGAAGCCGAGAGGUGGAGCGGAUCCUAAAAAAACUCUCCGAAAUACGGAUUGUAGGCUGCAACCCGCCUACAUGAAGUCGGAAUCGCUAGUAAUCGCAGGUCAGCCAAACUGCGGUGAAUACGUUCCCGGGCCUUGUACACACCGCCCGUCACGCCACCCGAGUUGGGAACACCUGAAGGCAGUACGGGAGGUACUGUUGAAGGUGGGCUUGGCGAGGGGGGCGAAGUCGUAACAAGGUAGCCGUA
Molecule: ribosomal RNA, 1488 nt
Filed under: uncultured bacterium
Lineage: Bacteria
Description: bacterial SSU rRNA
Rfam family: Bacterial small subunit ribosomal RNA
Source: RNAcentral